This 253-nucleotide ribosomal RNA is filed under the name uncultured bacterium. Its description in RNAcentral is "partial 16S ribosomal RNA". It matches the Rfam family "Bacterial small subunit ribosomal RNA", at positions 524 to 776 of the family's 1533-position model. The record is from RNAcentral.
UACAGAGGGUGCUAGCGUUGUUCGGAAUUAUUGGGCGUAAAGGGCGCGUAGGCGGCCCUGUGUGUCGGGUGUGAAAGCCCACCUCUUAAAGGUGGAAUUGCAUUCGAAACUACAGGGCUGGAGUGUCGGAGAGGAUGGCGGAAUUCCUGGUGUAGAGGUGAAAUUCGUAGAUAUCAGGAGGAACACCGGUGGCGAAGGCGGCCAUCUGGACGACAAUUGACGCUGAGGCGCGAAAGCGUGGGGAUCAAACAGG